RNAcentral lists this long non-coding RNA (1580 nucleotides) under Homo sapiens (human). Its description in RNAcentral is "HSALNT0389288". The record is from RNAcentral. Lineage: Eukaryota; Metazoa; Chordata; Mammalia; Primates; Hominidae.
GAGCAACCUUAUUAACCGAACCACAAUUUAAGUAAAAAAAGAAAAAAAAAAGUCCAGAAUGCACUAAAGGGAGGUUUCAUGAAAUCACCUGGGACUGACUGAGCCACAGUAGGAGAUCUGGAUUUAGGCCCUGUUCCGCUUCUUAUUUGGCUCCAUGACCUUGGGUAACUUAAAUCCUCUGAGGCUCAGCUUUCUCUUCUGUAAAGUGGCCUGAUGUGAUGCUGCCCUCUGAGGGUGUCAUGAAGCUAAAAUAUGAUCAAAUGUGUGACGCUCUUGUAAAAAAAACACUCAGUAAUUGUUCAUUAGCAUUGUCCUACAACCACCACCACCAAAAAAAAAAAAAAAAAAAAAAAAAGAAAGAAACAAAGAAAAGAAAAAAGAAGGGAAAAGAAAAGAAAGCAUUAUAAACAAAAUACCAGAGUACAUUGUUUUGCUCUGAGGAUGCCUGAAAUGCCACAUUAAGGCUGUUUGAUGGGAACCUCCAGAAAUAAGGAAGGGAAGAGGGGAAACUAAAGGAAUCUCUCAAUCUCUGGCUCCUCACUAUGAAUGAGAUACUGUAUGUUCUCUUGGAUUGGCUAUUUUUUUUCUUUUUCUUUUUCUUUUUUUUUUUAAUUUUUUUUUUUUUUUUUUGAGACAGAGUCUCACUCUGUCGCCCAGGCUGGAGUGCAGUGGUGCGAUCUCGGCUUACUGCAAACUCCGCCUCCUGGGUUCAUGCCAUUCUCCUGCCUCAGCCUCCCAAGUAACUGGGACUACAGGCGCCCACCACCACACCCAGCCAUUUUUUUGUAUUUUUAGUAGAGACGGGGUUUCACCGUGUUAUCCAGGAUGGUCUCGAUCUCCUGACCUCGUGAUCCGCCCCCCUCGGCCUCCCAAAGUGCUGGGAUUACAGGCGUGAGCCACUGCGCCCGGCUUUUUUUAAAGUUUCUGAGAUUCAACCAGAGCCUACUUAGAACUGGGUUGGCUUUUGUGGGACCUACAGGGAGGUGGCAGUGAGACCUAAGGUGUCAGAGAAGCAAAGGAGCACAGACUGGUGAAGGCUCGGGUGCCGAGGAAGCACCCCCAGCAUCACAAUUUUGUCCCAGUGUUGGGCAGAGGAGAAAUGUCCUUAGCUUGUCUCCUCUUCUCCCUCUCUCCCUCUUUCCUUUGCCUUCAUACCUUAAGUUGACUUUCCCAUCUUUCUCCUGGGAGAUUUAUUUCUGUCCCUUUUUUCAUCUAAAGCAACGGAAAUGAAUCAUCUUUCAGCCGGUUUAAUAAACAGCCCCAUGCCCCCUGACCCCAGCUGACUCUCUCACUGGUUCCUCUGUGGCUGCUCCUGGGCUAGGCCUCACCCCCUCACAGGCAAGACCCCCUCAUGGCUGGCUAUUCUUGGUAAUACUCUCCACCCUCCCUUCCUGCUCAGUCCUGGCAGCUUGACCUCCUCCACCCCAGGGAUGACGGGAAUCACACACAGCAUUCCAAGCGACAAUUCCACAAGCUGACCAUAGGGGCAGGGGAAGCAAGGAGGCCACCAUGUUUGGAGGGUUUCUUUGUGCCAUUUCAAUGACCCUAUUAGUGGAUCUUACGCUCUCCAUUUAACAGUU